UCGAGAAUCUUCCGCAAUGGACGCAAGUCUGACGGAGCGACGCCGCGUGUAGGACGAAGGCCCUUGGGUUGUAAACUACUGUCACGAGUCAUGAAUGCGUAGGCGUAAACACCGCCUGCGUUGACGCAAGCUCGAGAGGAAGCACCGGCUAACUCUGUGCCAGCAGCCGCGGUAACACAGAGGGUGCAAACGUUGUUCGGAAUCACUGGGCAUAAAGCGCACGUAGGCGGCUUGGUAAGUGUGGAGUGAAAGCCCACGGCUCACCCGUGGAACUGCUUCGCAUACUGCCUGGCUCGAGGACGGUAGGGGAGAGCAGAACUCCUGGAGGAGCGGUGAAAUGCGUAGAUAUCAGGAGGAAUACCAGUGGCGAAGGCGGCUCUCUGGUCCGUUUCUGACGCUGAGGUGCGAAAGCUAGGGUAGCGAACGGGAUUAGAUACCCCGGUAGUCCUAGCCGUAAACGAUGGGCACUAACUAGAGGUCUUCCG
Molecule: ribosomal RNA, 485 nt
Filed under: uncultured bacterium
Lineage: Bacteria
Description: bacterial SSU rRNA
Rfam family: Bacterial small subunit ribosomal RNA
Source: RNAcentral